Molecule: long non-coding RNA, 1150 nt
Organism: Mya arenaria
Lineage: Eukaryota; Metazoa; Mollusca; Bivalvia; Myida; Myidae
Exons: 3
Source: RefSeq, a predicted model, not a curated record
ACUAUGAGUUUUAGGAGUAGUAAUACUUUAUUUACAGUACAGUAUUUACAGACUAGUAAUGAGUGGAGUGUUGUUUGAAGUAGUAGUUCCGAGUUGUAUACAUGUUCUGUAGAAGAAUGACGAGACGUCAUUUCUUAGGGCCGGGGUGUAUGUAGCCCUGUGAACAUUUCAAAAUUCUUUAAAAGUGUUGUCUGCUGCAUUUCUCAUAUUUUGUGUUGUCUGCUUCCCUUGAUUGAUAUUUGAUGUUGUGAGAAUAGCAAUCUGCAGGGUUUUGGCGCAUUUUAUUUCUUUGGUUUUAACUGAGAUCUAGAGUCAUUUCCAUAGAGCAUUUCUAUGUUUGAAGUAACCAGUUUCAUAGUUAUCACGGAUGUGAGUUGAGAGAUACAGAGGUUGCCAGUGAGAACACUCAGUUCCAUAAACUUUGUGUAGAAUCAUCAGAUUCAACUGUAAUGAACUGGAGCCAUUGUAAUAUAUGUGAAUCGUAUAAACAGUAAAAACUCGAAAGCACUAGUCUUUGUUAGUCAACACCGCACACUAAUCGGACAAUUGCUACGAACCACGGCUUGGUCUUGCCUCAUAAUAUAUUGACUAUUAUAGACCUUCAUAAAGGUCAGGGGUAAAGGUCGAACCAUUAUAGCUGCACUCUCACAGAUUGAACGUUUUGAAAAAGGUUAUAAUUUUUUUCUUGGAAUGAACCAAUGUAUGCAAAAUGCAUGGAAACCUGUGAUAUAAGACGGCUGACAAAAAACGUCUUUGAAUUCCCGUCAAACAUGUCCGAACCAAAUUCAAACUUUGGAUAAUCACUGUGAUUCACGAUGAAAUUCAGCACUUCUUGCCCAGUAUAUAUACGUUUACUUUAAGCGGAAGGCAAAUUAAAACAAACACAUUUGUCCGAAAAUUAAUCAAGCUUUAAAUGGUAGUAGAAUUGUCAUUUGUUCAUGUAAUUUUCAAGAAUCAGGAAAGGAAAUAAAUGUUCUCAUGUUGCCAAUUUAGUCUCGAUCAUCUAGACGCUUGUAUCCAGAUCUAUAUCGUUCAUUGACUCUAAUUAGAGCGGCUUCAUGAUUGAGACUAGCCGGUUCUUUGAUAAUUGUUACGAUCGAACAGUGGUUGAAAAUGUAAAGUGAGACCAGUUUUUACCUGUUAUUGAACA